Molecule: ribosomal RNA, 484 nt
Filed under: uncultured bacterium
Lineage: Bacteria
Description: partial 16S ribosomal RNA
Rfam family: Bacterial small subunit ribosomal RNA
Source: RNAcentral
AUUGAACGCUGGCGGCAGGCCUAACACAUGCAAGUCGAGCGGAUGAAGGGAGCUUGCUCCUGGAUUCAGCGGCGGACGGGUGAGUAAUGCCUAGGAAUCUGCCUGGUAGUGGGGGAUAACGUCCGGAAACGGGCGCUAAUACCGCAUACGUCCUGAGGGAGAAAGUGGGGGAUCUUCGGACCUCACGCUAUCAGAUGAGCCUAGGUCGGAUUAGCUAGUUGGUGGGGUAAAGGCCUACCAAGGCGACGAUCCGUAACUGGUCUGAGAGGAUGAUCAGUCACACUGGAACUGAGACACGGGCCAGACUCCUACGGGAGGCAGCAGUUGGGAAUAUUGGACAAUGGGCGAAAGCCUGAUCCAGCCAUGCCGCGUGUGUGAAGAAGGUCUUCGGAUUGUAAAGCACUUUAAGUUGGGAGGAAGGGCAGUAAGUUAAUACCUUGCUGUUUUGACGUUACCAACAGAAUAAGCACCGGCUAACUUCGUG